GACGAACGCUGGCGGCGUGCCUAAUACAUGCAAGUCGAACGCAGUGGGGACGGGUGAGUAACACGUGGUUAACCUCCCAUCAGAGGGGAUAACACUUGGUAACAGGUGCUAAACCGAUACUGAUGGAUGGAACCGCGGUGCAUUAGCUAGAUGGGGGGGUAACGGCUCACCAAGGCAACGAUGCAUAGCUGACCUGAGAGGUUGAUCGGCCACACAGGGACUGAGACACGGCCCAGACUCCUACGGGAGGCAGCAGUAGGGAAUCUUCGGCAAUGGACGAAAGUCUGACCGAGCAACGCCGCGUGAGUGAAGAAGGUUUUCGGUUCGUAAGACUCUGUUGUUAGAGAAGCGGUAUCUAACCAGAAAGCCACGGCUAACUACGUGCCAGCAGCCGCGGUAAUAC
This 403-nucleotide ribosomal RNA is filed under the name uncultured bacterium. Its description in RNAcentral is "partial 16S ribosomal RNA". It matches the Rfam family "Bacterial small subunit ribosomal RNA", at positions 28 to 526 of the family's 1533-position model. The record is from RNAcentral.